This 253-nucleotide ribosomal RNA is filed under the name uncultured bacterium. Its description in RNAcentral is "partial 16S ribosomal RNA". It matches the Rfam family "Bacterial small subunit ribosomal RNA", at positions 524 to 776 of the family's 1533-position model. The record is from RNAcentral.
UACGUAGGGUGCGAGCGUUGUCCGGAAUUAUUGGGCGUAAAGGGCUCGUAGGCGGUUUGUCGCGUCGGGAGUGAAAACCUCGGGCUUAACUCGGGGCUUGCUUUCGAUACGGGCAGACUGGAGGUAUGCAGGGGAGAACGGAAUUCCUGGUGUAGCGGUGAAAUGCGCAGAUAUCAGGAAGAACACCCGUGGCGAAGGCGGUUCUCUGGGACGGUACUGACGCUGAGACGCGAAAGCGUGGGGAGCGAACAGG